UGGUGGAGUGAUUUGUCUGGUUUAUUCCGAUAACGAGCGAGACUCUAGCCUACUAAAUAGUCACUGGAUAAUUGCGUCCAGAAGACUUCUUAGAGGGACAAGCGGUGCUUAGCCGCACGAGAUUGAGCAAUAACA
RNAcentral lists this ribosomal RNA (135 nucleotides) under uncultured eukaryote. Its description in RNAcentral is "partial 18S ribosomal RNA". It matches the Rfam family "Eukaryotic small subunit ribosomal RNA", at positions 1299 to 1458 of the family's 1831-position model. The record is from RNAcentral.